CCUCACCUCCUCCCUGCCCUUUCCGCCUGACCGCCGAGCUCCGGUUCGCCUCCUAGCGCCGUCCUCAUGCAGCCAUCUGCCAGCAGACAAGCUUUGCGAGGUACGUGAUCUGAUACAUGGUGCUCAUCUUUAACACACUAGACUGGAGCGUCUCAUCUGGUGGAUCCCAUGCAGAUGCAUGGAGAGAUGGACCUCGAGCUGCACGCGAUGGCGCCGGGCUAGCACAAGGCAGAGCACCCUGGCCGUGGCCGGCAAGGAGGCGCGCAAGAUGGGCGCUUCGGUGCCCACUGGUUGCCAUCCGAACUGCAACCGCCAUCCCCGUCUCCCCUUCUUAGGUGCUCCCCUCCGCGUUUUAACUUUUACCCCGAGGUGCUACAGAAGAGACGCCCUAUGGGGAGCUAACGUGGAGGAGCGGGCGGCCGCUCGAGGCACAACAUCCUGUUGCAGGCGAGGUGAGUCUCGAUGCUGAUGUUGGUCACCAACGAGGUCUUCGGAGCGGAAGUCCAGGCGAGGUGGAUUUCGCCGGCGAGGCCCUCUCCGUUCUUCCUCUUGUGUGCGUCUUGGGUAGGAGGCAGGGCCAGCAGGGCCCGAAGGCGGUGCCUAGCCCUCCAGGCCACUGAGGCGGGACGGCGAGGUGCCGAGGGCGCGCGGUGCGGCUUGCGCUGGGACUCGUGCUCCGCCGCCAUGGCGACGGCCAGCGCAGGACAUGCGUGACACUGGGAGCCAAGCAUGAGGCUCUGGAGUGGCUCAUGCAGCGCGUCGCGCGCGGCGGUGCCGGUGGCUUGCAGUUGCAGGUUGACCGUGGGCGGUGGGCCUCGGGCAGAGCUCACAUGUGGUUGCGGCGGGCGAUGAGACAAACGAUGUCGAGGCAUCAGGCCGCUGGCGCUGGGUAUCGACGUAACGGGGCUCCUUUCCCUUGCAGAAGCGGGCACCGUCUCUCUACAUCUUACAUCUGGAUGUAGCGGGACAUAGCGAGCCCCGGAGCGGCCACUCGAUUGACGGAGCCACCUCCCAAGGCUCCUCGGCCAUCACCUUCCCCAUGACAGCCCUCGCGCGACUCCACGCAGGCCGUUCAGCUCAGCAGUCCUCUCGAGGAGAAUACACUGUCGACAAUGGUAGCGUCCACACAGCCUGGCUGCUUAGCUUAUGCCACGAAGGGACGUACGCCAUAGUCAUGCACAGAGUGGUCGGUGAGUUUCCGUGGAUACAACGGUUACGAAUCUGCAGGCUAGCGUCCACACAGCUUGGCUGCUAUUUAUGACUGUCGGUGUAGCCUUCAAACUUCACAGCAAGGUCGUAUGUAGCAGACCGUACAUGUACACUCAUAUAAAUGGACCGUGGAAUUGGAUUAUGGUUGUUGGCAUUACUUCAACUAUUUUAUGCAGUCCUUCAUUGAUUCUAGGAACUGAAUAACAUUUUUGUGAGGAAUCGAUGAAUAGCAAUUUGAUAAGUAUUGUGAGUGUGUAAGCAACGCAUUCACAACUCCAAAGCAGCUGAGCCGCAGCUCAGAAACUCUUGUUUCAUAAAAGAUUAGAGUUGUUUCAUAAAAGAUUAGAGUGAAAGACUUUGGCGAAUGAUUGUUUCAGCAAAACCUGAUUAACUGACUAACUUAAGAGUGUUUUAAAAGUCUUUCACUCUGGUUUGAGAACGGUGCGCCGGCCGAAGCUUGGGCCGGUCGCACCGCUCGAUCGCUCACACAUCCUGGCUACUAAGCCCACUUGCACAUCACGUGACCGCUCAGCCUCGUCUUAUCCUUUCCCCACCGCUGUUGACCACUCUUUCCUUUCUCCUUCUUCCACAAGACGCUUCUCUUUCUCCUCCUCUUCCAUCUCCCCCGCCGGCGUAACUCCUCCGCUGAGCUUUUCCCCCUCCUCUCCGCUCCUCAGGCGAGCUAAGGCAACGAAUCUGUCUCCUGGCGAGAGAAUCCGGCGAGCGUGAUUCUACAGCGGCGCCCAGCGAGCUGCAACGGCACCCUGCACUGCGCGCCACGAGAUGCUACAACGGCGCCCCGACGAGCUGGAAUCGAUGUUUACCUACACUGUGCCCCGGUGCGGCGUGCUGCAACCGGCCACGGAGGAGCUGGAACCGCUGUUGUGGCGUGUUGCGACCCACGACGAGAAGUGCUACCACGGGCAUAAGGCAGGCGAGCACGAUCCCACGAUGCUGGAACCAGUGAUUCAUUUUGCUGGAAGCAGCAAAAAAAAUUGCUGGAACCGGCGUUCUUUCCCCACCUUGCAAUGGGGGCUUGGCGAGCAAAAUUGCUACAACCGGCGAUCUGGUUUGCUGGAACCCAACAAUAUUUUUGCUGGUACCUUUUUCCUUUUUGAGCUGUAACGGUUUCUUUUGCUGGAAUCAUCAUUUGACUUUUGCUGGAACCAAUGCAUUAUUUUGUUGGAACCGAUGCAUUUUUUGCUUCAUCGGCUACUAAGUUCUCAUAUGCUCAGGUCAUUCUUUUUUCCAAUCGGAGAACCAGUCCAUUUGAUUUUGUUGGCACCGGCUUUUUUUUUUGCUACAACCGGCAAGUUUUUUGCUGGAUUGGUGACAUAUUUGAUUGAGACCGUCGGCAGGGACAUCAUGUUUUCCCAGACAAUUUUGCUGGCACCAUUUUUUUGGUUUGCUACAACCGGCAAUGUGUUUUGCUGGAACUAUGUUCCUUUUUUGCUACCAUACAAUUUCUAAGUUUUUGCUGGAAAUCAACGCCAAAUUAUUGCAUUUUGCUACAACUAGCGUUUUGAUUUGCUAGAACCGGCUCCAUUUUUUGGUACUACGGGUGUUUUUGGGUUUGCUGGAACCAUUGUUGUUUUUGCUACCACGAUGAGCCAUGGCAUCAUCACCAUCGAUUUUGCUGGUGGGUGAGGGGGAGGGGACGGGAAGGGGAGGGGCAGGCUGGGCAACACCGGCGAGCGGCGCACGGGAGGCUACUGCCGACUGUGAGGGGGACGGACGCAUGCUGCACAAUGCGGAAGGGGAGGGGGGCAGCCGCCAUGGCUCCCUAUGGUUUUUCUUCUCAGCUCAAAAAAGACGACUGGAGACGACGGCGGCG
RNAcentral lists this long non-coding RNA (3043 nucleotides) under Triticum aestivum (bread wheat). RNAcentral describes it as "long non-coding RNA (TAES_LNC006630)". Lineage: Eukaryota; Viridiplantae; Streptophyta; Magnoliopsida; Poales; Poaceae. The record is from RNAcentral.